CGAGUUUGAUCAUGGCUCAGAUUGAACGCUGGCGGCAUGCCUUACACAUGCAAGUCGAACGGUAGCGGGCCUUCGGGUGCCGACGAGUGGCGAACGGGUGAGUAAUGUAUCGGAACGUACCAUUGAGUGGGGGAUAACGUAGCGAAAGUUACGCUAAUACCGCAUAUUCUCUCCGGAGGAAAGCAGGGGACCGCAAGGCCUUGCGCUCUUUGAGCGGCCGAUAUCAGAUUAGCCAGUUGGUGAGGUAAAGGCUCACCAAGGCGACGAUCUGUAGCGGGUCUGAGAGGAUGAUCCGCCACACUGGAACUGAGACACGGUCCAGACUCCUACGGGAGGCAGCAGUGGGGAAUUUUGGACAAUGGGGGCAACCCUGAUCCAGCCAUGCCGCGUGAGUGAAGAAGGCCUUCGGGUUGUAAAGCUCUUUCGGCCGGGAAGAAAUCGCAUGGGUUAAUACCCUGUGCGGAUGACGGUACCGGCAUAAGAAGCACCGGCUAACUACGUG
This 502-nucleotide ribosomal RNA is filed under the name uncultured bacterium. Its description in RNAcentral is "bacterial SSU rRNA". It matches the Rfam family "Bacterial small subunit ribosomal RNA", at positions 9 to 507 of the family's 1533-position model. The record is from RNAcentral.